ACUUACCUUCAUAAUAUAAUUCUCUCUUUGCAAGACUUAUUUUCCACAAAAAGUUCUGCAAUUAUUUGUCUCCAGCUUCGUGUUUUGUGUCUGUGACUCUGUAUGGGUUUUGGGCCUCACUUGUGUCGAACAGUAAUGGCCCCAAGACAGUCAUAACAACAUAAACCCUUUAAUGGAAUUGGGCACACAAUUUUUGACACGUAGAGUGAGACUUGGUUUGUUGAGGAUAUAAAUGAUUAUAUGCCUUCUCUAACAGCUUGGGCAAUGAUUAAUGAUUUAACAUGCUAUUAGAAUAAACAAAAAUCAUCUGUUUGUGUGGAGGAGAGCUUGCCAUAUGUGAUUAAGGGUGUGUGGUAGGUUAUCUAGUGGAAGGUUACCCUUUUAUAUUGAGGCACUUUAAUGGCAGGUUCUCUAACCCGGGCAUGUAAAAUUCUAGGGUCAUGGUAAUACCCACAUGACACGUCAAUAGUGUAUUGUUUUGAAACCGAAAGUCUUUCUUUUAGGUUAGACGCCUUCUUUGUUAAGUGAAGUCUGAUAUCGCCUGAGUACUAAAGUAAUGUUACCUCAAUAGUUAGCUUUUGGGGUAGAGUUUCUACCUAAGAGCUUGCAACAUUCUUGUUAGAAUAGUUUAGAAAAAGGAAAUAAUAUGUAUUGUAUUGGAUUGAAUGAAUGAAUUAAUCUUAUACAAUAGAAGGCCUAUAUAUAUAAGCUGAAGAAGAGUAUCCUACUAGAAACCUAACUAUGAGAAACAGUAUCCUACAAGAAACCUAACUAUGGCUAUUCUUAAAUAUAUCUAGGAAAUCAAUACUUAAUAUAUCUAUAAAUACCAUAUAUACAUUAACAUUCCCCCUUAAACUCAAGGAGGAUAAACAUCUUGAGUUUGGAGAGAAAAACUAAAACAUGACAUAAAGUUAAAUAAAAUAAAAGGCAAAUAGGUUGCAAAGUCCAAACGGGAGCGCAAGGGCGCUUAAGAUAUAUUAGAAGUCGGAACUAAUAUCGGGAGACAGUUUAUGGUCGUGUUGGACCGUUGUAGGAAUUGGCCGAAAUUAAUGUCGGGACAGUUUAAGGUCAUGACAGAUUAUUGUAGAAACUAACUGGAACGAAUGUCGGACUGUUGCAGAAACUAACCGGAAUCAAUGUCAGGACAGUUUAAAGGGGUCAUGCCGGACCGAUGUAGGAGCUAACCCGAAUCAAUGUCGGAAUAGUUUAUAGGGGUCAUGUUGGACCGAUGUAGAGAGUUGGAUGUUGAACCAGUAAGCGUGACACACAAAUAAUUUAUGACGUAGUGCUGAAUGAUGAUGGUAACAGAUAACUGAGUGCACCAAGGGGCGGUUUGGAUUGUAUGCUAAAGAGGGUGGCUUGGGUUGUGCGCCAAAGGAAUGGCUUAGAAAAUGCGCCAAAAGGAGGCAGCUUAGAAAAUGCGCCAAAAGGAGGCGGCUUAGGAAGUGCGCCAAGGAGACGACUUAGGUAAUGUGUCAAUGAGACGACUUAGAUAAUGCGCCAAAAGAGGCGGCUUAAAGAAUGCGCCAAAGGAGGCGACUUAGGGAGUGCGCCAAGGAGGCGGCUUAGAUGGUGCGCUACAGGGGACCACUUAGUUGGCUUGCAAGGUGUAUAAUCAUGUUCAUCAUGAUGUAGGUAUAAUAUCCCCCUCAAACUCAAAUAGGUUCGAAAAUAGAAAUCUAUUUGAGGUUAAAACCGAGGGAAAGACAAAGUGGAGCAGAAGCACAAAAAAAAAAUUAAAAUUGAUAGAGAUAUUUAGAGUA
Camellia sinensis is the source of this 1763-nucleotide non-coding RNA. NCBI's taxonomy places the organism in Eukaryota, Viridiplantae, Streptophyta, Magnoliopsida, Ericales, Theaceae. The record is from RefSeq and is a predicted model, not a curated record.